RNAcentral lists this ribosomal RNA (164 nucleotides) under uncultured bacterium. Its description in RNAcentral is "partial 16S rRNA". It matches the Rfam family "Bacterial small subunit ribosomal RNA", at positions 355 to 511 of the family's 1533-position model. The record is from RNAcentral.
UAGGGAAUCUUCCACAAUGGACGCAAGUCUGAUGGAGCAACGCCGCGUGAGUGAAGAAGGGUUUCGGCUCGUAAAACUCUGUUGUUAAAGAAGAACAUAUCUGAGAGUAACUGUUCAGGUAUUGACGGUAUUUAACCAGAAAGCCGCGGCUAACUACGUGCCAG